GAAUAUUAGUCAAUGAUCGAAAGAUUGAUCUAGUUACUUAGAAAGAUGAAGAUUAUAAAAAAAAAGUAAAAAGAAAAUAAUAAUGAAGAAUAUAAAAUCAAUAUAUAUAUAGAAGAAAAAAGAUGAGAAUAUAUAUAGAAGUCUUAACCAAAAUUAGUGCCAGCAGUUGCGGCUAAACUAAGGAGGCGAACGUUAAUCAUUAAUGGCUUAAAGGAUCCGUAGAAUGAUAUAUUAAAAAAUAUAUUAGAGUUAAAUAGAAUAAUUAUGAAAAAUUAUAUUGAGAGAUGAAAUGUGUGGAAAAUAAUUAGACAAAUAAACGUGAAGAUAAAAUUAAAAAUUUAACUGACAUUGAGGGAUGAAGGCAUGAGUAGCAAAACGGAUUAGAUACCCGAGUAGUUCAUGCAGUAAACGAUGAAUACUUAUUGAAAAAUAAAAGCGAAAGCAAAAGUAUUCCGCCAGGAGAGUAUAGCUUCAAAGUUGAAAUCCAAGACAAUAGACGGUUACAGUUGUAGGCAGUGGAUUGUGUUAUUUAAU
This 534-nucleotide ribosomal RNA is filed under the name Pichia kluyveri. RNAcentral describes it as "partial small subunit ribosomal RNA". It matches the Rfam family "Bacterial small subunit ribosomal RNA", at positions 359 to 950 of the family's 1533-position model. Lineage: Eukaryota; Fungi; Ascomycota; Pichiomycetes; Pichiales; Pichiaceae. The record is from RNAcentral.